This 553-nucleotide ribosomal RNA is filed under the name Escherichia coli. Its description in RNAcentral is "bacterial SSU rRNA". It matches the Rfam family "Bacterial small subunit ribosomal RNA", at positions 969 to 1522 of the family's 1533-position model. The record is from RNAcentral. Lineage: Bacteria; Pseudomonadati; Pseudomonadota; Gammaproteobacteria; Enterobacterales; Enterobacteriaceae.
CCUUACCUGGUCUUGACAUCCACAGAACUUUCCAGAGAUGGAUUGGUGCCUUCGGGAACUGUGAGACAGGUGCUGCAUGGCUGUCGUCAGCUCGUGUUGUGAAAUGUUGGGUUAAGUCCCGCAACGAGCGCAACCCUUAUCCUUUGUUGCCAGCGGUCCGGCCGGGAACUCAAAGGAGACUGCCAGUGAUAAACUGGAGGAAGGUGGGGAUGACGUCAAGUCAUCAUGGCCCUUACGACCAGGGCUACACACGUGCUACAAUGGCGCAUACAAAGAGAAGCGACCUCGCGAGAGCAAGCGGACCUCAUAAAGUGCGUCGUAGUCCGGAUUGGAGUCUGCAACUCGACUCCAUGAAGUCGGAAUCGCUAGUAAUCGUGGAUCAGAAUGCCACGGUGAAUACGUUCCCGGGCCUUGUACACACCGCCCGUCACACCAUGGGAGUGGGUUGCAAAAGAAGUAGGUAGCUUAACCUUCGGGAGGGCGCUUACCACUUUGUGAUUCAUGACUGGGGUGAAGUCGUAACAAGGUAACCGUAGGGGAACCUGCGGUUGGA